RNAcentral lists this long non-coding RNA (758 nucleotides) under Heterocephalus glaber (naked mole-rat). RNAcentral describes it as "lncRNA (ENSHGLG00000034755.1)". The record is from RNAcentral. Lineage: Eukaryota; Metazoa; Chordata; Mammalia; Rodentia; Bathyergidae.
UGCUUAAAGAUAUAAAAAUAAAUCAGACCCUGAGACUUCUCAGAGGGAACCUGCACAUUGCUUGCGAAGGUUCUUUUCUCACUCACCGGCCUAGGACCUCUCCUCUUCCUACCCGGCAUCGACUGCAGCUGGUCUGCGGCAGGGAUCUUCCUACCUCAGCCUCCUGAGUGCUGAAAUUGCAGAGCAUGAGCCACCAUGCCCAGCUAGAAAGCAGAGAGGACCGAUAUUCAGACUAAGGGAAGUCUAGACGAAAUGUGGACUCAGAAUUGAGAGAGGUUGGAACUGGGAGUUGGAAAGACUGAAUUGCUUUGCCAGCUGCCAGAUUUACCAGUCUUCAUCCCUGUUCCUGUCGACUGACAUCAGCGAUUCCAUUGAUACUAAGAAGCCAUCAUUUACAUAUAGGGAAAGGCACAGUUGUACCAGAUAUGUCCAACUUCACAGAAGGGUUGAAAGCAGAGACCCUCCUCUACAUGGAAGAGGGAAUGAGACUGUGAAUAAGUGUGGAAGGAAAUGCGCAGCCCACCCGUGCAUCUGCAGGUUGACCUGACUCGUUCACACAGUGUGUCCAGCUAAUGGAGACACCCACGCCUGUGACCAGACUGUCAAGAUGGUCUAAGCAUGGGCAUUGUCCCCAGGCAAGUGUGCUAAGUACCCUCCCUCUCCACCUACAGCUCCAUUGCUUCAAAAUUUUGCAAAGGCUGUAGUCAAAAAAGACUUAAGCAACCCUUAACCUCGUGUCCUCUGGAAUGAACAAAAUG